UACUGUACUGUACCCUGGGUACCCGAGCAAACCCGACCCACCGCCGCCAGCCGGCCCUCCUCUCUCCUCUCACGCGUCGCUUGGUUUUUUCCGCUGGUUUUCCUGGUUAUUUUUCCCAUUUCCUGUUCACCCCCACGUCCAUAGCAACUGCUGUCCCCUGAUUCGGUGAUUCUGUGAUUCCGUCUCAUGCCCUCCCUCAAUUUAUCUGAGGCGAUGGCGGCGGUCGUGGCAAGAUUCGCCAGGUGCUGCAGCUGGUGGCCCGGCGAACGAGAUGCUUUGAGUGGAUCAAGCAUGGCGGCAGCCGGCAGGAGCUAGUUCUACAAUGCUAGAUCCACCCCAGGAGCUCAUCGGUCCUCUCCCUGCUCCGGCCCGGAGCACCUCUAGGUGGCGGCACGAUGUGGACGGCGGGGCCUCCUCCUGGUUGCGGCGCCGUGGGUCUGGUGGCAUCCGGAGCUCCCUAGGUUCCGUGCGUUGUUCCAUGCAGGUCCACUCGUGCGGAUCCGGUGAGGGCAGGUCCGGUAGCUCCCUGCUACGAUCUCCUCAUCAGGCGUUUUUUCAUUGAGUCCGAUGGCGCAUUGCAUUUGAAACUCAUAGUGGACAUCCAUGGUGAUGCACAAGCUGUUGGUUCGAUGGCGAGAGUGGAUGUUAUAGUCUAGUGGACAUGACAAGCAGGUGAGCGCAUCCAGCAUCGCCGUUUCUUCCAGUUGUGUAUGUGCUUUUUUGGUGGGUGAAGUAUUGGUGAAAAGGUUUUGCAUGCUCUGUGUUUGGUUGAAUCUUCCUGUGUUGAGUUAUCUCGCAUGGUCAGUUCAAGAACCAAUGAGUUCCUUUGACAGUAUCAGAUUGAUUAUAAUGUUAAAUUAAAUAUGUAGAUGAUAAUCCCGCAAGUUGUGAAUACUCCAGUUAGCAAGUGGUUAGGGUUUCUCCAAAUGAUAGCAUACCCCCUUUUUAGUACAUGAUUCCAUCUUGUAUGGCCAUCUGUUAGUCAUGUAUCUUUCCUAUUAUACAAAAUUUUCAUUUGACAUGAUAUGACCUCAAGGCAGGGAUACAUACCUCUGUAAUAUACUUGCAGCACAACCUUGCCAAAACAUGAGAUAAUUCCUGAUUAAUAUGAUCUGUAAUUAACUUUUGUUAUUUGAAAUACAUUGCAGUAUUGUACUCUGUUUUGUAUAAAUCCCAUGUCCUUGACAGCUCUGGCAAUGGCAACGGUGAGCAUGGAAUUGUGAUCUUAACGUACUCAAAACACUGUGGGUGCUCUGCUCAUGCUCAUGUAGUUUGAACUGAUUAUAUUCUAUCGAUUUUUCCUUAACUAUCAUUUUUAGUUGACAAUUUAAUAAAAGAGGUCAACUACGAUACCCCCCCUGAUUGAGUUUAGAUCUUCCCAGUAGGAACAAAAAUUGUUCUUGUAUUUUUAUGACUCCUUGCCCCUUCCGACUUCUGAACCAUAUUGUUUUAUAAAUUUUGUUUGUGACUACUACCUCUAAUUAAAUUCACCUUUGACAGUGGGAAUGCUGGUAGGAUAUAGUUAAUUGUUAACCAAUAAAAAAUCUGGUAUGAUAUAACUAUUUGUUAAUGGCAAUGCUGUUUUUUUCUGGUUAUGCUAUACGGAGAAGCUGGAUUAAUUCCCUCAGUAGUUGAGAUUAUAUGGUGCACAGUGCUGAUGAUAAUUCACUUAUCCAUGGGUUCAGGAGAGGUGAUAUCCAUGCACCUGUUCAUGUGUCUUUAGGAUUGCCAAUCAUUUUUUGCAAAUUCCAAAUUUGAUGCACUAAUCAGAAAGAAGGCUAAAGCUUGAUUCCUAAUUGAAGGCACUCAUCAUUUCUUCCCAAUAGUCAUUGUAUGAAUUUCAGGGUCCUCUCAUAUGAAUCCAACCAAAUCCUUCAUUUCUUAGCUUGAAUCAGCUUUAUAAAUAUAGAUUGCUCCCUUGAUAACGUGCACCGUGGCUGGGUGCGCCAAAGCUUGUAUUGUUACCCAGAUGAUGGGAUUCUUGUUUUUAUGACCUGCAAGUGUCAAUUGAGCUGGACCAGGUAUUUUGUUUGAAACCUCUAUUUCUCUGGGUUCGGCUAAUUGAUUAAAACUUAAUGUACAUCUAUUUCAGUAGUAUGACUGAAACUAAUUAGGAUUUAUCAAUUUUGUUGUACAUGUUAAAUCAAAGAUAUACAUCUAAUUGAGCUCAGUUCCAGGGUUUAGUGCUAUAGAGGCACUGAUCAAUCCGAUCCUUAAUGUUUAUGUACAUCCAGCAGUUGUUGCCAUGAGUUUUUCCCCCUGUCAUGAGCAGAAGAAUCUUGUCUACCUCAGUCUUUCUCUGAGCUAUGGAGUAUAUAUACAGCAUAGUACAGCACACCAGGGUGUGGAAAACCAAUGUUAUCUUCUGACUUUAUUCUGAUCUUAUUCUUUUCGGCAGACUGCAACUUCCUGUGUCAUAUAGUGGUGCAGAAAUUCAUUUCUCAUCCAAUUUGCAAUUUCAAUUUUGUUCUUACUACUUAAUUUCCGUCUUCUACAUGCAGAUCAGAGACCGAUCGACAUGCAGUACCUGAUUUCCAUUGGUUCAUUAGUAGCAUGGUGGAUGUACUCAUGGGCGGGUUCAGGUUUCUCGAGCUCAGGUAGGGACAGGACAGCGGCGAGCAGUAGUGCAGGACAGUGAUUUUCAGCUUACUUGGCGGCGGCCGUGGCAGCACGGCCAUGAAACCCAAUUCGUCUGCAGAAAAUUCUUCUAGGGAUGGAAUCUGGUGGCUCUGCUGCACUAAGAUCAGCACCAGCUUGUCCAAGGGAGCACAUCCGCCAUGCCUGUGAUGUGUUUGACAAAAUGCACAGGAGGCAAAGCUGUGAUAUUUUGACAGAAGACUUUGCAGUAUCCUUCCUUCCAGGCAUGAUCUUCCUUUCCCUUAAUGCACAGGAGGCGGUGCUUCUUACUGCCGGUGACUGAUACGAUCAGAUUUGCCAAUCCAAAUUUGGUCCUAGGUGCAGACCUGGUUGGGUUGAUUGCCUUGUAUGAAUUAAUAUAUUUGGAUCAAUGUACUUUGCAAAUAAUUUUAAAUAUUCUGAAGCUUUGAUCUUCUAACGAUUGUGGUUCAUGAUACUAGUUUGCCUGAUCAAUAUGCCUUGUUUUAUCUUACAGGUAACAAUCUAGAGCGAGUGAAUUUUUGCUGAAGAAUUACAAGCACAAGCAGUAUCAUGCGCUGUCAAACUUUGCAGCCAACAGAAGCACUUUCUGCUUUGUGGCAUUGAGGCAACACAAGUGAUCACUAUUGUUGCAAAACUUUAUAAGGGGUUGGUCCUGGCCUCAAAAUAGUGAUAAUACUCUCUGCGAGCCAUUGUCUAUCUUGUAUGAAAGAAUCAGAAGCUUGUUCUCCUCAGGGUGUCUUGCGCGGUGCAGCGUUUGCAAGUGCAAGGCUUGCCGGUUCUUUUUACACGUUACAAUGUUCAUUGCAUGCUCUAAUUGUUCUACAUUUGUAAUUUCUGGGUGAAGUUUGGCUACUGAUCCAUAGUUUGAUUAGCUGACAUAUAGUAUUUUGCAAACAUGGUCUGUUUUGAAGGGCUAAAUUUGCAAUUCUUGCUAUUCUGUUUAAAA
Setaria italica (foxtail millet) is the source of this 3565-nucleotide long non-coding RNA. RefSeq lists it as uncharacterized. The record is from RefSeq and is a predicted model, not a curated record. NCBI's taxonomy places the organism in Eukaryota, Viridiplantae, Streptophyta, Magnoliopsida, Poales, Poaceae. The transcript has 3 exons.